RNAcentral lists this ribosomal RNA (497 nucleotides) under uncultured bacterium. Its description in RNAcentral is "partial 16S ribosomal RNA". It matches the Rfam family "Bacterial small subunit ribosomal RNA", at positions 28 to 507 of the family's 1533-position model. The record is from RNAcentral.
GAUGAACGCCGGCGGCGUGCCUAAUACAUGCAAGUCGAGCGAACGGACGAGAAGCUUGCUUCUCUGAUGUUAGCGGCGGACGGGUGAGUAACACGUGGAUAACCUACCUAUAAGACUGGGAUAACUUCGGGAAACCGGAGCUAAUACCGGAUAAUAUUUUGAACCGCAUGGUUCAAAAGUGAAAGACGGUCUUGCUGUCACUUAUAGAUGGAUCCGCGCUGCAUUAGCUAGUUGGUAAGGUAACGGCUUACCAAGGCAACGAUGCAUAGCCGACCUGAGAGGGUGAUCGGCCACACUGGAACUGAGACACGGUCCAGACUCCUACGGGAGGCAGCAGUAGGGAAUCUUCCGCAGUGGGCGAAAGCCUGACGGAGCAACGCCGCGUGAGUGAUGAAGGUCUUCGGAUCGUAAAACUCUGUUAUUAGGGAAGAACAUAUGUGUAAGUAACUGUGCACAUCUUGACGGUACCUAAUCAGAAAGCCACGGCUAACUACGUG